AGAGAGAGGCAAAGACAUAAGCAGAGAGAGAAGCAAGCUCCAUGCAGGGAAUCCUAUGUGGGACUCAAUCCCUGGAUUCUAGGAUCAUGCCCUGAGCUGAACGGCUGAGCCACGCAAGCGUCCCGGAAAGUGGCCUUUAUGUUGGCGAUGUAAGGAAGCAUUUCUAUUGAAUGGAUAAUGGAUUAUCCUGCUAUAUUGUCUUCAUCAAGGUCAUAGAGUAAGAUUUUAUGAGGAUUCUACUGGCAUUAGCCACCUGGGAAGAAGAUAAUAGUCCUGAGUAGGAAAACAAGGUGGAGAGCACCCAAUCCUGGGAUUCCAGGAGUGUUUUUUAGUGGCUGAUAAGCCUCAUUAAAACCUGUGGGUCUUCUUCUAGGCUGGGCACCCAGCUGCCUUUUUCUAUUUUUGGAAGGGCCACAGAAAAUCUCCUGUCAAGAGUUUAAAACUUUCCACAGCCUGUAAAUCGGGUGGUUCACCCCUUGUAAAAUAUAACUUGGUUUGGUUA
Molecule: long non-coding RNA, 502 nt
Organism: Canis lupus familiaris (dog)
Lineage: Eukaryota; Metazoa; Chordata; Mammalia; Carnivora; Canidae
Exons: 2
Source: RefSeq, a predicted model, not a curated record